UGGUAAUAGUGGCACAGAGAGCAGCUCAAGCUAUUGAGUGCUGUCUCAAGAAAGAAAGAGACUGCAUGUGACUCAGAGAAGAGGGUUUUCUACAAGAUGACCUUAACUCCAUGAUGGGCCUCCUGAAUGCUGGGACUAAAGGUUGAGAAUGACAGGUUGAAAACAUUAGGAUUGGGAGACUCCCAAGAGGAAUAAGGCACCAUUUGAAGGCAUCACCAGAACAUCUGCGUCCUGCAUCAUGCUUUUCUCUGUUUUCUGACAACCUGGAAUGAGAAAUGAGGAUUCUAGCCUUGUCAGCAGAGUGAAGAGCUGAGGAGACUGCUGAAUUGGAG
Molecule: long non-coding RNA, 332 nt
Filed under: Cricetulus griseus (Chinese hamster)
Lineage: Eukaryota; Metazoa; Chordata; Mammalia; Rodentia; Cricetidae
Description: lncRNA (ENSCGRG00000025796.1)
Source: RNAcentral